GACAGAGGGUGCGAACGUUGUUCGGAAUUACUGGGCGUAAAGCGCAUGUAGGCGGCAGCGCAAGUCGGGCGUGAAAUCCCACGGCUCAACCGUGGAAGUACACUCGAAACUGCGCAGCUAGAGUCCUGGAGAGGAAGGUGGAAUGCUUGGUGUAGAGGUGAAAUUCGUAGAUAUCAAGCGGAACACCGGUGGCGAAGGCGGCCUUCUGGACAGUGACUGACGCUGAGAUGCGAAAGCGUGGGGAGCAAACAGG
Molecule: ribosomal RNA, 253 nt
Filed under: uncultured bacterium
Lineage: Bacteria
Description: partial 16S ribosomal RNA
Rfam family: Bacterial small subunit ribosomal RNA
Source: RNAcentral